This 487-nucleotide ribosomal RNA is filed under the name uncultured bacterium. Its description in RNAcentral is "partial 16S ribosomal RNA". It matches the Rfam family "Bacterial small subunit ribosomal RNA", at positions 28 to 507 of the family's 1533-position model. The record is from RNAcentral.
GACGAACGCUGGCGGCGUGCUUAACACAUGCAAGUCGAACGGAAAGGCCCCCAUCUUGGUGGGGGCGCUCGAGUGGCGAACGGGUGAGUAACACGUGGGUGAUCUGCCCUGUACUUCAGGAUAAGCUUGGGAAACUGGGUCUAACACCGGAUAGGACCAUGGUUCAGUGUCUCAUGGUGGAAAGAUUAUUGUUUUGGUGUAGGAUGAGCUCGCGGCCUAUCAGCUUGUUGGUGGGGUAAUGGCCUACCAAGGCGUCGACAGGUAGCCGGCCUGAGAGAGUGGGCGGGAACAUUGGGACUGAGAGACGGCGAAGGCUCCAACGGAAGGAAGCAGUGGGGAAUAAGGAGCAGUGGACGCAAGCCAGAGGCAGCGACGCCGCGGGGGGGAUGACGGGUUUCGGGUGGUGAACUCCUUUCGUUAGGGCCGUAGCCACGCUUAUUGGGUGUGAUGAAGGUAAAUUGGUAAAGAAGCACCGGCUAACUACGUG